This 343-nucleotide ribosomal RNA is filed under the name uncultured bacterium. RNAcentral describes it as "bacterial SSU rRNA". It matches the Rfam family "Bacterial small subunit ribosomal RNA", at positions 987 to 1340 of the family's 1533-position model. The record is from RNAcentral.
UCCCGGGAAUUCUAUCGAAAGUUUGAAGGUGCCUUUCGGGGGAGCCGGUGACAGGUGCUGCAUGGCUGUCGUCAGCUCGUGUCGUGAGAUGUUGGGUUAAGUCCCGCAACGAGCGCAACCCUAUCUUUAGUACCAGCAAUUCGGUUGGGACUUAAAGAUACUGCCCCGGUCAACGGGGAGGAAGGUGGGGAUGACGUCAAGUCCUCAUGGCCUUUAUGUCCAGGGCUACACACGUGCUACAAUGGGCUGUACAAAGGUAGCGACUCGCGAGAGUGAGCCAAUCCCAAAAAGCAGUCCGUAGUUGGAGUCUGCAACUCGACUCCAUGAAGCUGAAUCGCUAGUA